Molecule: ribosomal RNA, 1065 nt
Filed under: Triticum aestivum (bread wheat)
Lineage: Eukaryota; Viridiplantae; Streptophyta; Magnoliopsida; Poales; Poaceae
Description: partial small subunit ribosomal RNA
Source: RNAcentral
AUGCUGUGGGUGGACAAGCACCGGCCGAAAACCCUAGACAAGGUCAUCGUCCAUGAGCAGGUCGCGCAGAACCUCAAGAAAUUCGUGGCGGAGCAGGACUGCCCGCACCUGCUCUUCUAUGGCCCACCGGGGUCCGGCAAGAAAACCCUAAUCAUGGCGCUCAUCAAGCAGAUGUUCGGCGCCGGUGUGGAGAAGGUGAAGAUGGAGAAUAAGACGUGGAAGAUCGAUACUGGGACGAGGACAUUUGAUCUUGAGCUGGCGAUGUUGUCAAGUUCCCACCAUGUGGAGAUGAACCCCAGCGAUGCUGGCUUUCAGGACAGGUAUGUUGUUCAGGAGGUCAUCAAAGAGAUGGCCAAGAGUAGGCCCAUUGAUGCCAAGGGCAAGAGAGCAUUUAAAGUGCUUGUCCUAAAUGAAGUUGACAAGCUGUCACGAGAAGCACAACAUUCCCUCCGUAGGACAAUGGAGAAAUACAGUGCAUCGUGUAGACUCAUAUUAUGCUGUAAUAGCUCCUCAAAGGUGACAGAAGCUGUAAGGUCCCGUUGCUUGAAUGUGCGAGUGAAUGCACCUACCGAAGAUCAGAUUGUACAAGUACUGGAAUUCAUUGGGAAGAAAGAGAAUCUGCAACUUCCAUUUGGAUUUGCUGCUCGGAUAGCAGCUCAAUCAAACCGCAACUUGAGGCGAGCAAUAUUAUUUUUUGAGACAUGCAAAGUCCAGCAAUAUCCAUUUUCAGCAAAUCAAGUGGCACCUCCUCUUGACUGGGAGCAGUAUGUGUCUGAAAUAGCAACUGAAAUCUUGAGUGAACAAAGCCCUAAAAGGCUAUAUUCUGUACGCCAGAAAUUCUAUGAGUUACUUGUGAAUUGUAUCCCACCUGAAAGCAUCUUGAAGAAGUUGUUAACCGAGUUAAUGAAGAAGUUAGACUCUGAUUUGAAGCAUGAAGUUUGUCACUGGGCUGCACACUAUGAACACAAGAUGCGACUUGGGUCCAAGGCCAUUUUUCAUCUGGAAGCUUUCGUGGCCAAGUUCAUGAGCAUUUACAAGGAGUUCCUUUGCGCCGCAUUUGGUUGA